ACGAUGAAUCUUCUAGCUUGCUAGAAGUGGAUUAGUGGCGCACGGGUGAGUAAUGCAUAGGUUAUGUGCCCUUUAGUCUGGGAUAGCCACUGGAAACGGUGAUUAAUACUGGAUACUCCCUACGGGGGAAAGUUUUUCGCUAAAGGAUCAGCCUAUGUCCUAUCAGCUUGUUGGUGAGGUAAUGGCUCACCAAGGCUAUGACGGGUAUCCGGCCUGAGAGGGUGAUCGGACACACUGGAACUGAGACACGGUCCAGACUCCUACGGGAGGCAGCAGUAGGGAAUAUUGCUCAAUGGGGGAAACCCUGAAGCAGCAACGCCGCGUGGAGGAUGAAGGUUUUAGGAUUGUAAACUCCUUUUGUUAGAGAAGAUUAUGACGGUAUCUAACGAAUAAGCACCGGCUAACUCCGUGCCAGCAACCGCGGUAAUACGGAGGGUGCAAGCGUUACUCGGAAUCACUGGGCGUAAAGAGUGCGUAGGCGGGGUAAUAAGUCAGAUGUGAAAUCCUGUAGCUUAACUACAGAACUGCAUUUGAAACUGUUACUCUGGAGUGUGGGAGAGGUAGGUGGAAUUCUUGGUGUAGGGGUAAAAUCCGUAGAGAUCAAGAGGAAUACUCAUUGCGAAGGCGACCUGCUGGAACAUUACUGACGCUGAAGCACGAAAGCGUGGGGAGCAAACAGGAUUAGAUACCCUGGUAGUCCACGCCCUAAACGAUGAAUGCUAGUUGUUGCCUUGCUUGUCAGGGCAGUAAUGCAGCUAACGCAUUAAGCAUCCCGCCUGGGGAGUACGGUCGCAAGAUUAAAACUCAAAGGAAUAGACGGGGACCCGCACAAGCGGUGGAGCAUGUGGUUUAAUUCGAAGAUACGCGAAGAACCUUACCUAGGCUUGACAUUGAUAGAAUCUA
Molecule: ribosomal RNA, 903 nt
Filed under: uncultured bacterium
Lineage: Bacteria
Description: bacterial SSU rRNA
Rfam family: Bacterial small subunit ribosomal RNA
Source: RNAcentral